UUGUUGGUAAGGUAAAAGCUUACCAAGGCUUCGAUCAGUAGCUGGUCUGAGAGGACGACCAGCCACACUGGGACUGAGACACGGCCCAGACUCCUACGGGAGGCAGCAGUGGGGAAUUUUGGACAAUGGGGGCAACCCUGAUCCAGCCAUGCCGCGUGAGUGAAGAAGGCCUUCGGGUUGUAAAGCUCUUUCAGCCGGAACGAAACGGUUACGGUUAAUACCCGUGACUACUGACGGUACCGGAAGAAGAAGCACCGGCUAACUACGUGCCAGCAGCCGCGGUAAUACGUAGGGUGCGAGCGUUAAUCGGAAUUACUGGGCGUAAAGCGUGCGCAGGUGGUUUUGUAAGUCAGAUGUGAAAGCCCCGGGCUCAACCUGGGAACUGCGUUUGAAACUACAAGACUAGAGUGUGGCAGAGGGGGGUGGAAUUCCGCGUGUAGCAGUGAAAUGCGUAGAGAUGUGGAGGAACACCGAUGGCGAAGGCAGCCCCCUGGGUCAACACUGACGCUCAGGCACGAAAGCAUGGGGAGCAAACAGGAUUAGAUACCCUGGUAGUCCAUGCCCUAAACGAUGUCAACUAGUUGUCGGGCCUUUACGGGCUUGGUAACGUAGCUAACGCGUGAAGUUGACCGCCUGGGGAGUACGAUCGCAAGAUUAAAACUCAAAUGAAUUGACGGGGACCCGCACAAGCGGUGGAUUAUGUGGAUUAAUUCGAUGCAACGCGAAAAACCUUACCUACCCUUGACAUGUAUCGAAGCCCGCAGAAAAGCGGGGGUGCCCGAAAGGGAGCGGUAACACAGGUGCUGCAUGGCUGUCGUCAGCUCGUGUCGUGAGAUGUUGGGUUAAGUCCCGCAACGAGCGCAACCCUUGUCAUUAAUUGCCAUCAUUUAGUUGGGCACUUUAAUGAGACUGCCGG
RNAcentral lists this ribosomal RNA (916 nucleotides) under uncultured bacterium. RNAcentral describes it as "bacterial SSU rRNA". It matches the Rfam family "Bacterial small subunit ribosomal RNA", at positions 246 to 1155 of the family's 1533-position model. The record is from RNAcentral.